UACGUAGGUGGCAAGCGUUAUCCGGAUUUAUUGGGCGUAAAGAGAACGCAGGCGGUCUUUUAAGUCUGAUGUGAAAGCCUUCGGCUUAACCGGAGUGGUGCAUUGGAAACUGGGUGACUUGAGUGCAGAAGAGGAGAGUGGAACUCCAUGUGUAGCGGUGAAAUGCGUAGAUAUAUGGAAGAACACCAGUGGCGAAAGCGGCUCUCUGGUCUGUAACUGACGCUGAGGUUCGAAAGCGUGGGUAGCAAACAGG
RNAcentral lists this ribosomal RNA (253 nucleotides) under uncultured bacterium. Its description in RNAcentral is "partial 16S ribosomal RNA". It matches the Rfam family "Bacterial small subunit ribosomal RNA", at positions 524 to 776 of the family's 1533-position model. The record is from RNAcentral.